GAUCUAAAGCAAAAUUGGCCUUUGGGGUGGACGACAAUUAAAAAAAUGAAUUGUUACAAAAAUGAGUCUAUAUUGGAGAACGUCCUCUCCCCAAAAUAGAGAAGACGUUAACCGCAGGUGUUCUCACGGUGUUAGCCAGACAGAGUGUGCUGCCUAAAUUAGCACUCGUACAAGGAGAAAUAAAUAUGGCGGAGGAGUUCCAAGUCCAGUGGUACACGACUUGGAAGAGGUGGGAGAUCAGGAGGACUGGUCCAAGAUCAUGAAGAGAGAAUCCAGUAGUUGAGAAGAGAACUUGAGGUCCAGUGGUACACGACUUGGAAGAGGUGGGAGAUCAGGAGGACUGGUCCAAGAUCAUGAAGAGAGAAUCCAGUAGUUGAGAAGAGAACUUGAGAGCAUGCAUGCUGGUGUUGCCAGACAGUGCUGGAUACAUUGUGACCAGUGUGACAAAAAUCCUGCCCUUGCACCGGAUAUGAA
RNAcentral lists this long non-coding RNA (474 nucleotides) under Lingula anatina. Its description in RNAcentral is "uncharacterized LOC106164575, transcript variant X2". The record is from RNAcentral. Lineage: Eukaryota; Metazoa; Brachiopoda; Lingulata; Lingulida; Lingulidae.